Molecule: non-coding RNA, 69 nt
Filed under: Candidatus Handelsmaniibacteriota
Lineage: Bacteria
Description: Candidatus Handelsmanbacteria Fluoride sequence
Rfam family: Fluoride riboswitch aptamer (crcB RNA motif)
Source: RNAcentral
UCGCCUGCGGGAGAUGGCAUUCCUCCCGUAAAAAGAACCGCCGGCCCGGCUGAUGAUGCCUACGUGAUC